Molecule: unclassified non-coding RNA, 205 nt
Filed under: Glomus sp.
Lineage: Eukaryota; Fungi; Glomeromycota; Glomeromycetes; Glomerales; Glomeraceae
Description: partial contains 5.8S ribosomal RNA and internal transcribed spacer 2
Rfam family: 5.8S ribosomal RNA (bases 1-65)
Source: RNAcentral
GUGAAUCAUCGAAUUUUUGAACGCAAAUUGCACUCUCUUCGGAGAGUAUGCCUGUUUGAGGGUCAGCCUAAAAAAAAAAUCGACAUAGUCGCUGUUUCUCGGUGACAUUCGGCGGAAAUUGUGUUAUCUUAAACAUUUGGGUUUUAAAAUGUUUAAAAUUUUCUUUAUGUUUCUACGAACGUUUUGAAGAUUUUUUUCUUAUAUG